Flavobacterium sp. A45 is the source of this 104-nucleotide non-coding RNA. The record is from Rfam. Lineage: Bacteria; Pseudomonadati; Bacteroidota; Flavobacteriia; Flavobacteriales; Flavobacteriaceae.
AUAUAAGAGGAAAAAUUUGAACUGAUUGCAACCUCUUCAUAAUGAAACGAAUUCAUUAUGGAUGCUGAAAAAUUUUCAGUAGAAAAAAUGCUAAAGCAGAAACU